Molecule: long non-coding RNA, 823 nt
Organism: Megalobrama amblycephala (Wuchang bream)
Lineage: Eukaryota; Metazoa; Chordata; Actinopteri; Cypriniformes; Xenocyprididae
Exons: 4
Source: RefSeq, a predicted model, not a curated record
GCUAAGUUCAUUCAUAUUGUUUACUUCGAGAAGUAUUUUAUUACAAACGUUUAGUUAUUUACAAACGAUUCCCAUUUCAUUUGGAUCUCUGUCACUACUCAUAUUUGGACAUUGGGAGUGCUUGUCAUAUUGAGGCAGCUCACUGACAUGAGGGAACUUAUCACAGGACAGCUCCACGGUCACCUCAAAACAGUUGGUGUGCAGUGACCCAGCAGCGGUUGUAUGAGAGCUAGCAGCAUGCCGCUCCUUUAAUGACCUAUGAGAGCUGUGGACCCAGGCCAUACACGGGGAACCUGAGAACCUGCUGAGCAACUUCUGUUGAUCUAAGCCAGCUCACUGUAUCACUCAAAUGAACCACAAUAUCGCUCAUACAGCAGGUGAGCUGUAUCAGUUCACAGGAGUUCAUCAUAGACCUUCACAGCCUGAGAAAUUUAACCAUCCUGAUGAAAACCGCACUGUCACACUAAAACCAGAGAUUUGAACAACAGCAAAUAAAACACAGGACAUAUUCGCUGAGUAAAGUGCCUUCAGAUGUUUCUUUCAUGUUCUUGUACAGCUUCAUUAUUUUUUUUUUCCCCGGGAUCUGCUCAAUGUGUCCUCUCAUUACCACGGUGUACUACCUGAACGCUACAGGAAUACAGAAUUAUAAAUAUUCAUUCUUACCCUCACCUGAAAAACUAACAGCAUGCUAUACUUCACUGCUCAAUUAUUGAUUUCCAGCAGGCUUAUAAAAAUAUCGAAACUCUGGAUUGUUCAGAAGAAUUUGGGGAACAACUGGAAAAAUGUGAUGUUGUUUAAUUAAAAUAUAUUUAUUCAUUAUGCA